GGGUUGUGAGGUUAAGCGACUAAGCGUACACGGUGGAUGCCCUGGCAGUCAGAGGCGAUGAAGGGCGUGCUAAUCUGCGAUAAGCGCCGGUAAGGUGAUAUGAACCGUUAUAACCGGCGAUACCCGAAUGGGGAAACCCAGUGUGAUUCGUCACACUAUCAUUAACUGAAUCCAUAGGUUAAUGAGGCGAACCGGGGGAACUGAAACAUCUAAGUACCCCGAGGAAAAGAAAUCAACCGAGAUUCCCCCAGUAGCGGCGAGCGAACGGGGAGGAGCCCAGAGCCUGAAUCAGCAUGUGUGUUAGUGGAAGCGUCUGGAAAGGCGCGCGAUACAGGGUGACAGCCCCGUACACAAAAGCGCAUGUGCUGUGAGCUCGAUGAGUAGGGCGGGACACGUGGUAUCCUGUCUGAAUAUGGGGGGACCAUCCUCCAAGGCUAAAUACUCCUGACUGACCGAUAGUGAACCAGUACCGUGAGGGAAAGGCGAAAAGAACCCCGGCGAGGGGAGUGAAAAAGAACCUGAAACCGUGUACGUACAAGCAGUGGGAGCACAGGUUUACCUGUGUGACUGCGUACCUUUUGUAUAAUGGGUCAGCGACUUAUAUUCUGUAGCAAGGUUAACCGAAUAGGGGAGCCGGAGGGAAACCGAGUCUUAAUUGGGCGUUAAGUUGCAGGGUAUAGACCCGAAACCCGGUGAUCUAGCCAUGGGCAGGUUGAAGGUUGGGUAACACUAACUGGAGGACCGAACCGACUAAUGUUGAAAAAUUAGCGGAUGACCUGUGGCUGGGGGUGAAAGGCCAAUCAAACCGGGAGAUAGCUGGUUCUCCCCGAAAGCUAUUUAGGUAGCGCCUCGUGAAUUCAUCUCCGGGGGUAGAGCACUGUUUCGGCUAGGGGGCCAUCCCGGCUUACCAACCCGAUGCAAACUGCGAAUACCGGAGAAUGUUAUCACGGGAGACACACGGCGGGUGCUAACGUCCGUCGUGAAGAGGGAAACAACCCAGACCGCCAGCUAAGGUCCCAAAGUCAUGGUUAAGUGGGAAACGAUGUGGGAAGGCCCAGACAGCCAGGAUGUUGGCUUAGAAGCAGCCAUCAUUUAAAGAAAGCGUAAUAGCUCACUGGUCGAGUCGGCCUGCGCGGAAGAUGUAACGGGGCUAAACCAUGCACCGAAGCUGCGGCAGCGACACUGUGUGUUGUUGGGUAGGGGAGCGUUCUGUAAGCCUGCGAAGGUGGCCUGUGAGGGUUGCUGGAGGUAUCAGAAGUGCGAAUGCUGACAUAAGUAACGAUAAAGCGGGUGAAAAGCCCGCUCGCCGGAAGACCAAGGGUUCCUGUCCAACGUUAAUCGGGGCAGGGUGAGUCGACCCCUAAGGCGAGGCCGAAAGGCGUAGUCGAUGGGAAACGGGUUAAUAUUCCCGUACUUGGUGUUACUGCGAAGGGGGGACGGAGAAGGCUAUGUUGGCCGGGCGACGGUUGUCCCGGUUUAAGCGUGUAGGCUGGUUUUCCAGGCAAAUCCGGAAAAUCAAGGCUGAGGCGUGAUGACGAGGCACUACGGUGCUGAAGCAACAAAUGCCCUGCUUCCAGGAAAAGCCUCUAAGCAUCAGGUAACAUCAAAUCGUACCCCAAACCGACACAGGUGGUCAGGUAGAGAAUACCAAGGCGCUUGAGAGAACUCGGGUGAAGGAACUAGGCAAAAUGGUGCCGUAACUUCGGGAGAAGGCACGCUGACACGUAGGUGAAGUGAUUUACUCAUGGAGCUGAAGUCAGUCGAAGAUACCAGCUGGCUGCAACUGUUUAUUAAAAACACAGCACUGUGCAAACACGAAAGUGGACGUAUACGGUGUGACGCCUGCCCGGUGCCGGAAGGUUAAUUGAUGGGGUCAGCGCAAGCGAAGCUCCUGAUCGAAGCCCCGGUAAACGGCGGCCGUAACUAUAACGGUCCUAAGGUAGCGAAAUUCCUUGUCGGGUAAGUUCCGACCUGCACGAAUGGCGUAAUGAUGGCCAGGCUGUCUCCACCCGAGACUCAGUGAAAUUGAACUCGCUGUGAAGAUGCAGUGUACCCGCGGCAAGACGGAAAGACCCCGUGAACCUUUACUAUAGCUUGACACUGAACAUUGAGCCUUGAUGUGUAGGAUAGGUGGGAGGCUUUGAAGUGUGGACGCCAGUCUGCAUGGAGCCGACCUUGAAAUACCACCCUUUAAUGUUUGAUGUUCUAACGUGGACCCGUUACCCGGGUUGCGGACAGUGUCUGGUGGGUAGUUUGACUGGGGCGGUCUCCUCCUAAAGAGUAACGGAGGAGCACGAAGGUUGGCUAAUCCUGGUCGGACAUCAGGAGGUUAGUGCAAUGGCAUAAGCCAGCUUGACUGCGAGCGUGACGGCGCGAGCAGGUGCGAAAGCAGGUCAUAGUGAUCCGGUGGUUCUGAAUGGAAGGGCCAUCGCUCAACGGAUAAAAGGUACUCCGGGGAUAACAGGCUGAUACCGCCCAAGAGUUCAUAUCGACGGCGGUGUUUGGCACCUCGAUGUCGGCUCAUCACAUCCUGGGGCUGAAGUAGGUCCCAAGGGUAUGGCUGUUCGCCAUUUAAAGUGGUACGCGAGCUGGGUUUAGAACGUCGUGAGACAGUUCGGUCCCUAUCUGCCGUGGGCGCUGGAGAACUGAGGGGGGCUGCUCCUAGUACGAGAGGACCGGAGUGGACGCAUCACUGGUGUUCGGGUUGUCAUGCCAAUGGCACUGCCCGGUAGCUAAAUGCGGAAGAGAUAAGUGCUGAAAGCAUCUAAGCACGAAACUUGCCCCGAGAUGAGUUCUCCCUGAGACUUAAAGUCUCCUGAAGGAACGUUGAAGACGACGACGUUGAUAGGCCGGGUGUGUAAGCGCAGCGAUGCGUUGAGCUAACCGGUACUAAUGAACCGUGAGGCUUAACCUUACAACGCCGAAG
RNAcentral lists this ribosomal RNA (2926 nucleotides) under Salmonella enterica subsp. enterica serovar Moscow str. S-1843. RNAcentral's name for it is "bacterial LSU rRNA". It matches the Rfam family "Bacterial large subunit ribosomal RNA". The record is from RNAcentral. Lineage: Bacteria; Pseudomonadati; Pseudomonadota; Gammaproteobacteria; Enterobacterales; Enterobacteriaceae.